UAAUACGGAGGGUGCAAGCGUUGUUCGGAAUUAUUGGGCGUAAAGAGCGUGUAGGCGGUUUGGUAAGUCAGAUGUGAAAGCCCUGGGCUCAACCCAGGAAGUGCAUUUGAUACUGCCUCACUAGAGUAUGGGAGAGGAGAGUGGAAUUCCCAGUGUAGAGGUGAAAUUCGUAGAUAUUGGGAGGAACACCGGUAGCGAAGGCGGCUUUCUGGCCUGAUACUGACGCUGAGACGCGAAAGCGUGGGGAGCAAACAGGAUUAGAUACCCUGGUAGUCCACGCCGUAAACGAUGUGCACUAGGUGUAGGAAGUGUUGACCCUUUCUGUGCCGAAGCUAACGCAUUAAGUGCACCGCCUGGGGAGUACGGUCGCAAGGCUA
RNAcentral lists this ribosomal RNA (377 nucleotides) under uncultured delta proteobacterium. RNAcentral describes it as "bacterial SSU rRNA". It matches the Rfam family "Bacterial small subunit ribosomal RNA", at positions 521 to 896 of the family's 1533-position model. The record is from RNAcentral. Lineage: Bacteria; Deltaproteobacteria.